UAGUCAUAUGCUUGUCUCAAAGAUUAAGCCAUGCAUGUCUAAGUGACCAUACGAGUAUGAUUGAACUGCGAACGGCUCAUUACAACAGUUAUUGUGGCUUUGAUUGGCUUUCUACAUGGAUAACCGUGGGAAACCAAGGCUAAUACGUGCAUCGGAGGCUUGCUUGCAAGCUGUGCUUAUUAGUUACUGACCUUCCAUCAGAUGGUUCUGAAUAAUCGUUCGAAUCGCAACAUUGCGAUAGAUCAUUCUAGUUUCUGACCUAUCAGCUUUCGACGGUUGGGUAUUGGCCCACCGUGGCUAUGACAGGUAACGGGGAAUUGGGGUUUGAUUCCGGAGAGGGAGCCUGAGAAACGGCUACCACGUCUAAGGAUGGCAGCAGGCGCGUAAAUUACCCAAUCCUAAUUCAGGGAGGUAGUGACAAGAAAUAGCAACGCGGGGCUAUGCUUCGUGAUUGCAAUGAGUGGAUUUUAAACGUAUCCACGAGUACCAAUU
Molecule: ribosomal RNA, 492 nt
Filed under: uncultured eukaryote
Lineage: Eukaryota
Description: bacterial SSU rRNA
Rfam family: Eukaryotic small subunit ribosomal RNA
Source: RNAcentral